RNAcentral lists this ribosomal RNA (445 nucleotides) under uncultured bacterium. RNAcentral describes it as "bacterial SSU rRNA". It matches the Rfam family "Bacterial small subunit ribosomal RNA", at positions 354 to 796 of the family's 1533-position model. The record is from RNAcentral.
GUAAGGAAUAUUGGUCAAUGGACGCAAGUCUGAACCAGCCAUGCCGCGUGGAGGAUGAAGGUCCUCUGGAUUGUAAACUUCUUUUCUCUGGGACGAAACCCCCGAUUUCUAUCGGGCCUGACGGUACCAGAGGAAUAAGCACCGGCUAACUCCGUGCCAGCAGCCGCGGUAAUACGGAGGGUGCAAGCGUUAUCCGGAUUCACUGGGUUUAAAGGGAGCGUAGGUGGGCAGUUAAGUCAGUGGUGAAAUCUCUGGGCUUAACCCGGAAACUGCCAUUGAUACUAUCUGUCUUGAAUAUUCUGGAGGUAAGCGGAAUAUGUCAUGUAGCGGUGAAAUGCUUAGAUAUGACAUAGAACACCCAUUGCGAAGGCAGCUUACUACGGAAUUAUUGACACUGAGGCUCGAAAGCGUGGGGAUCAAACAGGAUUAGAAACCCUUGUAGUCC